RNAcentral lists this transfer RNA (68 nucleotides) under Ogmocotyle sp. JM-2015. RNAcentral describes it as "tRNA-Asp". Lineage: Eukaryota; Metazoa; Platyhelminthes; Trematoda; Plagiorchiida; Notocotylidae. The record is from RNAcentral.
UCAUUUCUGGUUUAAUUUAAAAGAAUGUCAGUUUGUCGUACUGGUGGUGAUAGUUAUAUCGAAGUGGG